RNAcentral lists this ribosomal RNA (365 nucleotides) under uncultured eukaryote. RNAcentral's name for it is "partial 18S ribosomal RNA". It matches the Rfam family "Eukaryotic small subunit ribosomal RNA", at positions 592 to 976 of the family's 1831-position model. The record is from RNAcentral.
CAAUAGCGUAUAUUUAAGUUGUUGCAGUUAAAAAGCUCGUAGUCGGAUUUUGGCUGAGAACGAUCGGUCCGCCGUUAGGUGUGCACUGAUUGGUCUCAGCUUCCUGGUGAGGAGGUGUGCUUCACGGCCACUUAGUCACCGUGGUUACUUUGAAAAAAUUAGAGUGUUCAAAGCGGGCUUACGCUUGAAUAUAUUAGCAUGGAAUAACACCAUAGGACUCCUGUCCUAUUUCGUUGGUCACGGGACGGGAGUAAUGAUUAAGAGGAACAGUCGGGGGCAUUCGUAUUUCAUUGUCAGAGGUGAAAUUCUUGGAUUUAUGAAAGACGAACUUCUGCGAAAGCAUUUGCCAAGGAUGUUUUCAUUGA